RNAcentral lists this ribosomal RNA (303 nucleotides) under uncultured bacterium. Its description in RNAcentral is "bacterial SSU rRNA". It matches the Rfam family "Bacterial small subunit ribosomal RNA", at positions 29 to 332 of the family's 1533-position model. The record is from RNAcentral.
ACGAACGCUGGCGGCGUGCUUAACACAUGCAAGUCGAGCGGUAAGGCCCUUUCGGGGGUACACGAGCGGCGAACGGGUGAGUAACACGUGGGUGACCUGCCCUCAGCUCUGGGAUAAGCCUGGGAAACUGGGUCUAAUACUGGAUAUGACUCCACGGUGCAUGUCGUGGGGUGGAAAGCCUUGUGCGGCUGAGGAUGGGCCCGCGGCCUAUCAGCUUGUUGGGUGGGGNGAUGGCCUACCAAGGCGACGACGGGUAGCCGGCCUGAGAGGGCGACCGGCCACACUGGGACUGAGACACGGCCC